GGAAUGACCACGAUGGGGUUUAAUGCCGGCUUUGCAGGCAUGAGCAGAGAAGAAUGGCUGUUAACUAGACUAUAAGUUAUUCGUCUUGUUCAUCGUUAUUUCUGUGGAGCAACACUUAGCAUGAAGCAGGUGCUCACUAAUUUUUUUUUUAAUGCGUAAAGUCCCAGCAUGGGCCCGAUGCCGUGUGCGGUAAAUCUGUGACAAUUGAAAAUGUGCCUCUUGAAAGGUGUGAGAAUUCCGAAGUAUUCUAACAGCGGUAACUGAGUAUUGCUGCAGUGUGGACUGGCUAUGCUAAUAGCAGCUCUGCUCUUCUCUCCACUGCCAUCCCCCAGCCUCUCAGCUUUUGAUUAAAAUCUGUGCGGUGCAUUUUACACUCUUAUCUUGUCGACCACAGAAACAACCCCUCUGGGCCAGCCUGGUGGCGUAGUGGUUAAGUUGGUGUGCUCCACUUCCAGUGCCUAGGGGUUUGUGGUUUGGAUCCUGGGUAGGACCUACACAUUGCUCAUCAAGCCAUGCUGUGGUGGCAUCCCACAUACAAAACAGAGGAAGAUUGGCACAGAUGUUGGCUCAGGGCCAAUCUUCCUCAAGAAAAAAGAGGAAGAUUGGCAACAGAUAUUAGCUCAGGGGCAAAUCUUCCUCACCAACAAACAAACAAACAAACAAACAAGAAAAAACCCCCAACCCCUCCACAUAGGCCCUGUUACCUCCUUACAAAAGACCACCUCUUUUGGACCUCCAGGUUUUAAUCUCAAAAUGUUUUUUAAAUCCAGAAAUGCUUUGCCACUUAAUCUUCCAUGUACCCAAAAGUGGCCCAAGAAAGCCUUGGGGAAGAAAUAGAUGUGGCUUCUCUUAGCCAUGCAAAAUGGCAGCAGGUUACAAUCUGGAGAGGAAGGAUAUCAAUUCUUCGACAAGUCACCUUCAAUGCAUGGCCUGCAGGAAGGGACCUCCCCUUCUCUUGGUUCCUGUGAUAAAGGGCGAACGGAGCAGCCAUUUUUGGGAUGCUGACACAGAGAGGAAAUGUAAAUUCACGACCUCGGCCUGCGUUGACCUGCCAAACUUGAGGCCAGCAGACAUCUUUUAGAACCAAGUGUGAGGGUUUCUGACAUCGCUCAGCCGUGGAGCCAAGAUGUAUUUAAUAGCAAGAUGGAAAACUCCUGGCGAGACUGGCCACGUGCCUCUGGCCUUGGAGAAGAGAGCGUGGAGGCAGCAUUCAGUUCAUUUUCAGGAGUUUUAUGUCCCUGCAUGGAAGACUAUUCUAUACCCUUCCAUAUGCAUUUGUUCAUUCAUUCACACUGGUAAUGUGCCAGGUACUGUGUUACGUAUGGCAGAUACAAAGAUGAAUGAGACAGGAUCCUUGCCCAGAGGAGUUCAAUGUCUAGUUAGAGAGUGGGAGCUGUAAAUGAACAGCGUCACUGUGGUAUGACCAGCGAGCGCAAUGGUAGAGGCAUGCACUGUGAACACGGAGCUCACAGAGUGGGGAGCAUGCAGUCUGUCUGGAUGGAUCAGGGUGGUUUGUUUCAGAGAGUUAGGGGUUGGAGUUGAAGGAUGAAACUGAAGGAUAAAUAAGAUCCCUCUCCCCAUGAGAGGGUGGAGGCUGGCGAGGAAAGGCGCUCUGAGCUUGACAACAGUACAUGCGAGGACACCGGACGUAGCGUGUCCUUUACCAGAUCUGCCAGGUGCUCACUGUGCCUGGAGCUUGGGGUAUGGGCAGGAGAGUGGGUAGUGUCAGUGGCAGUGAGAGUUUUAAAGAGGGAGAAUCCAUCUUUGAAAGGUCACUAUGAUGGUAACGGGACGAUCAGCACUCUGAAAGCAGCUGGAGAAGGUUCAAAUCCUGGGCCACUUUGUGUGUGUGUGUGUGUGAGGAAGAUUGGCCCUGAGCUAACAGCUGUCACCAAUCUUCCUCUUUUUGCUUAAGAAAGGUUGUUGCUGAGCCAACAUCUGUGCCAAUCUUCCUCUGUUUCAUGUGGGAUGCUGCCACAGUGUGGCCUAAAGAGUGUUGCUAGGUCUUCACCUGGGAUCCGAACCUGUGAACCCCCGGCUGCUGAAGUGGAGCACGUGAACUUACCCACCAAGCCAUGUGCUGCCCCUUAGGCCACUUUUUUCUUGUGUAGUCUUGGAGAAGUUCCCAAGUACCACUGAGCUGCACAAAAAUAGGAUAAUAACACAUUUCUUGAAAUGUUUUUAAGAGAGUUAGAAAGAACGUACAUAAGUUACCUGGGAUAGUAUUUGGAAUUUGUCGUUAUCAUUAUUGCGAGGCUGAUAGAAUAUAUUGGAAAGUGGAGGAGUUUCGGAGUCAGAGUCCCGGGUUCUGAUCCUAGUUUUGCUCCUGACUUGCUGGGUAUCCCUUGCAUAUUUCUUAACCUUCCUGAACCCGUUUUCUUACUAGUAGGCAUCCAGUUAUUCAAUAAACAUGUAUCGAACAUCUUCUGUGUGCAGCUCUGUGCUAGCCGUGGAGUUUCAUCAGUAAACAACCAGGCACAGUCUCCCCCCAAACCCAUAACUCCAGUCUAGUAUGAGAAAAAC
Long non-coding RNA from Equus caballus (horse), 2523 nucleotides. Lineage: Eukaryota; Metazoa; Chordata; Mammalia; Perissodactyla; Equidae. The record is from Ensembl.